ACAGACACAGAGAUGAGGGGCUCCACCCAGGGUCCCCCAGCUAGCAAGUGGCUAAGCUCUUCUGAUCCCAGUUACCCUUAAGAUGGUCUUCAUUUCCGGAACCUUUUGCUUCAGAAGCUGGAACUCCUGUGACUUGGGGACUUGUCUUUGAGGUGCUCAUUCCAGGCCAAAUCAAAAACAACCAAACUUCCCUAACAGAAAAUGGACUGUGAGGUUCAAAUGUCUCUGAGGGAAGCUACCAGGCCAAGGAUGUUCUCCAGAAGACAGACAUCAAGAAACCAGACUGAAAAUUAGAAGAAGUAGAGGCCUGCUUCAUGCUUGGUAGCAACACUUUGGUGAGGUGGUAAGACCUAAGAGAAGAGAUGGGUUCUAGCUCACCAGUUUGUCACACCCCACAUAUGGGGCAGGCACAGUAAGGCCACUGCACCACCCGGCAUGAGACUCCUUAAGUCCUAUUAGUGUAUGUGUGGACAGAUGACAAAUAGUCCUGAGAUCCAUGGAUGUCUGCAUGAUUUGGGUUCCUUAGUAAUUGAUAUAUUUCCUUCCUCCAAGGAAGAAUGUGGCUGGUUUUUAAGUGCCCUUGGAGGAAAAUGGGAUAUCUCCCUGGGGGUUUAAAUCCUGAAAAAGUGCUAGAAGCCAAUGGGUGGUGGUAGUCUUAGUUUUACCAAUUAAAGAUGCCAAUGCUGUGUAAUACCACUGAAUAUGACUGCAAAGAGAAGCCUUGACAAGAAAGAAACUGAGAUUAAAGACAAUUUUCAGUAA
Molecule: long non-coding RNA, 762 nt
Organism: Mastomys coucha (southern multimammate mouse)
Lineage: Eukaryota; Metazoa; Chordata; Mammalia; Rodentia; Muridae
Exons: 2
Source: RefSeq, a predicted model, not a curated record